RNAcentral lists this ribosomal RNA (484 nucleotides) under uncultured bacterium. RNAcentral describes it as "partial 16S ribosomal RNA". It matches the Rfam family "Bacterial small subunit ribosomal RNA", at positions 28 to 523 of the family's 1533-position model. The record is from RNAcentral.
GACGAACGCUGGCGGCGUGCUUAACACAUGCAAGUCGAACGAUGAAGCUGGAGCUUGCUCCGGUGAAUUAGUGGCGAACGGGUGAGUAACACGUGAGCAAUCUGCCCUUGACUCUGGGAUAACUGCGGGAAACUGUAGCUAAUACCGGAUACUUUCACUGGAAGGCAUCUUCUGGUGAAGAAAGAAUUUCGGUCAAGGAUGAGCUCGCGGCCUAUCAGCUUGUUGGUGAGGUAACGGCACACCAAGGCGACGACGGGUAGCCGGCCUGAGAGGGUGACCGGCCACACUGGGACUGAGACACGGCCCAGACUCCUACGGGAGGCAGCAGUGGGGAAUAUUGCACAAUGGGCGCAAGCCUGAUGCAGCAACGCCGCGUGAGGGAUGAAGGCCUUCGGGUUGUAAACCUCUUUUAGCAGGGAAGAAGCGAAAGUGACGGUACCUGCAGAAAAAGCACCGGCUAACUACGUGCCAGCCGCCGCAGUAA